CGCCCGCCAGGCUGGAGGAGGGAGGGAAGACCGAGAGGGGGCUCCAGCGGUGGCAGAGGCGGCGGGACGCGCGGCCCCGCUGCUGGCCUGGCUGCGCUCCCAGGCCCGCCCCUCCCAUUUGCCCGCCAGGCAGCCAGUGGUGAAUUAGCAGAUGAACGCACCCAAGCACUGCUGGGCUCUCAGACACAGAUGGCUCCCACGGGAAGUGUGACACAUGAGCACAGACAUGAAUGUGCACGUGGGCAGAGAUAUACACACAUGCCCAGAGGGCAUGAGUCACAGAGAAGAGGCAGAGGGCCAUGGCGAGCUCCACACUGACAACCCCAGCCCUGGCUACAUUCUUAGAUGCCCAACUUCAGUAGUACCUGGCACCAGGUACCUGCUUGGUUUGGCCACCCUGGAGCUUCUGGAAAGGUGAGCCCAGACUCUGAUGGGCACUGCCAGACAUGUGGCAGUGGUCGGGGAAGUAGACUCUGACGGGGGAAGCGGGGACACUCCAGGCAUCCUGAGCCCCAGCUUGGUUGUCCCCUGGGCUCUGCCCACCUGAGGGACCUGUGGAGAGGCGACAGGCACAAGAGCCCUGGAGUCCAGGCCCAUCUCUACCUGCUGUGUGACCCUGGACCCCAGUCUCCCCACCAUCCCAUGAAGCAAACAAAGCAUCUCAGACCACCCUGCCUAAUAAUCUCAGUGAUUCUCAACAGGGGCAAUUUUCCUCCCCGGGAGAUAUUCGGUAACGUCUGGAGAUAUCUGGCGUCAUCACAGCUUGGUGGGGGGACCUCCUAACAUCUAGAUGGUAGAGGCCACAGGACGCUGCUAAAUAUCCUACAAGGCACAACACGGUCUCUCACGAUACAGAAUGAUCCUGUCCAAAAUGCUCUCCUCCAAGGGGAAGAUUCCACCCCUCAGAAUUCCCACGCUCUCUGACCUCCUUUAAACUCUUAAUCAUGCUCUGACCAGGGCUGGGGGCCAUUUAGAAGACACAGGGGUUGCUCCUGCGUCUGCCUUCAAUAAGAGCAGCUAACAUUUAUUGAGCCCUUUUCAAGUUGCUGGUCGGCACCACGCACGGAGAAACUCAUUUUAGUCUCGCCACAACGGCGGGAAGCCCAGGCACUGUUAUGAUCCCCACUCUAAGCCUGAGGAGACAGGCAGAAAGAACAUGAGUAAUCAGCUCAAGGUUACACAGCUAGCCAGGAUGGAGCUGGAUGGGAAACGGUCACUUUGGGACAGACCCACAGGGCAGAGUCCUUUCUGGAAAGGAGCUCACACAGCAGGGCUCUGGGAAGUCCCUUUCCCUCUCUGAGUCACCGUUUUUUCUUUUCUUUUUUAUAAAAUAUUAAUUUGGCUGUGUUGGGUCUUAGUUGUGGUAUGCAGGAUCCUGCGUUGUGGCACACAGACUU
Bubalus bubalis (water buffalo) is the source of this 1397-nucleotide long non-coding RNA. RefSeq lists it as uncharacterized. The record is from RefSeq and is a predicted model, not a curated record. Lineage: Eukaryota; Metazoa; Chordata; Mammalia; Artiodactyla; Bovidae. The transcript has 3 exons.